Molecule: long non-coding RNA, 730 nt
Filed under: Phascolarctos cinereus (koala)
Lineage: Eukaryota; Metazoa; Chordata; Mammalia; Diprotodontia; Phascolarctidae
Description: lncRNA (ENSPCIG00000015142.2)
Source: RNAcentral
CGCUGCGCUACCUCGGGCCGGCCGGCGGGGCGCUAAGUUCCCCGCCAGCUGUUGCAUGCACCGGCCCCGGGAGCCAGAGCUGUCGCCUGGGCCCUCCCGUAUUCCCCGCGGGCCUUGGAGACCCUCCCCCCUACUGCCCCAGGGCCAAAGACAGAGGAGGACAGAGCCGAGGUCUGGCCAAGGAUUCGGUGCAUCUGGGGAGGAGGCAGUGGCUGCCAAUGACCGUUCAGGGGCAUUAGCAUUCUGAGGAUCUCCUUGACCAGAUGUGAGCAGGCAACAAACACUGUCUCAUAUAAUCACCAGUGAAAAAUCUCUGAAGCUCUGUCUCUGGCCCUGGGAGAAAAAUUCAAAAGAAUUUCUUCCUGCCACUGCCCAGAAACUGGAGAUCUCUUCCAUACCCUGAAGGAGGAUUCAGGGCUGGGGACUGAUGCUGCUACUCUUCCUGGGACAUCUUAGGCUCAUCCUCCUCCAGAUCACCCCCCUCUUCUUUCCUGAGGACCUAUCUUUGUUCCAGCUGGAGUGAUGGCCGUCAGAAAUGAGGAGACCUAGUCCUUCUCCUCUGGGAUCUUCCACCCUAGUUCUCAGACUCAUCGCUUGACCUCUGAGAUCAUCAAGCCAGGACUUCACUUUGUUUGUGUCAUGGAAGCUUUGGGAAGUCUGUAGAUCCCUUUUUAGGAUGUUUUUAAAUGCAUAAAAUAAAAUAAAAAGGAAACCAAAGAUGAGUGGAAAA